This 127-nucleotide small RNA is filed under the name Marmota monax (woodchuck). The record is from RNAcentral. Lineage: Eukaryota; Metazoa; Chordata; Mammalia; Rodentia; Sciuridae.
GCUGGGUGCCAUGGCCCACACCUGUAAUCCCAGCAGCUCAGGAGGCUGAGACAGGAGGAUCACGAGGUCAAAGCCAGCCUGAGCAACUCAGCAAAGCCCUAAGCAACUCAGUGAGACCCUGUCUCUA